UUGAAUAAAUUAACAAUCAAAAAGAGAAAUAAUGACCAAGGUGCCCACACCGACAAUAGAGGAUGCAAGCAUUAUCUGGAAUGAUUGGGCGUAAAGCGUUUGUAGGUGGCUUUUUAAGUUUGUCGUCAAAUCCCAGGGCUCAACCCUGGGCAGGCGGUGGAAACUACCAAGCUGGAGUACGAUAGGGGCAGAGGAAAUUUCCUCUGAAGCGGUGAAAUGCGUAGAGAUCGAAAAGAACACCAACGACGAAAACACUUUGCUGGGUUGACAUUAACACUGAAAGACGAAAGCUAGGGGAGCAAAUGGGAUUAGAUACCCCAGUAGUCCUAGUCGUAAACGAUGGAUACUAUACACUAUGUGUAUCGACCCGUGCAAUGCUGUAACUAAUGCGUUAAGAAUCCUGCCGGAGGAGUAUGUUCACAAGAAUGAAACUCAAAGAAAUUGACGGGGACCCACAAGCCAAGGUGGCCCUCGCCUGUGGUCAAGGUACGAUAUUU
RNAcentral lists this non-coding RNA (497 nucleotides) under Glycine max (soybean). RNAcentral describes it as "Bacterial small subunit ribosomal RNA". It matches the Rfam family "Bacterial small subunit ribosomal RNA", at positions 442 to 971 of the family's 1533-position model. The record is from Rfam by way of RNAcentral. Lineage: Eukaryota; Viridiplantae; Streptophyta; Magnoliopsida; Fabales; Fabaceae.